RNAcentral lists this ribosomal RNA (253 nucleotides) under uncultured bacterium. Its description in RNAcentral is "partial 16S ribosomal RNA". It matches the Rfam family "Bacterial small subunit ribosomal RNA", at positions 524 to 776 of the family's 1533-position model. The record is from RNAcentral.
UACGUAGGGGGCGAGCGUUGUCCGAAGUUACUGGGCGUAAAGCGCACGCAGGCGGUCUGCUAAGUUUGGAGUGACAGUUGGUGGCUUAACUGCCAAAGUGCUUCGAAAACUGACAGACUUGAGGGCUUCAGAGGGACACGGAAUUCCGGGUGGAGUGGUGAAAUGCGUAGAGAUCCGGAGGAACACCAAAGGCGAAGGCAGUGUCCUGGGGAGUACCUGACGCUCAGGUGCGAAAGCCAGGGGAGCGAACGGG